Non-coding RNA from Callithrix jacchus (white-tufted-ear marmoset), 38551 nucleotides. Lineage: Eukaryota; Metazoa; Chordata; Mammalia; Primates; Cebidae. The record is from RefSeq and is a predicted model, not a curated record.
CAAUGCGAGCUGAGCAGACAGGGCUGCAAGGAAAUCUGGCGCGGUUCAAUACCUUGUCUAGCUUGGGUUCCAGUAUCUAAUCUUUUUUUUUUUUUUUAACUGACAAACUCAUUUCUCUACUGGGACAGGAUGCUGUGUGGCUGGAAGUUCCAUUUCUACAGCAAGAAUCCUAUCUGGAAAUACAGAAGUUGUCCUCUAGCCACAGCAGCUCGAACUUUUUUGACUGUCGUUGCUGCUUUCUCCCAUCACCCCCAUCCCCUUUUGACAAAGAUCCAACUGUAAAAAGUCUUACGUAACAGUUCAGGACUACUUCGGUUCUUUUACUGGGUAAGCACUUUCAAUUUUUUUUUUAACUAAAAACCAUUUUAAAAUUGAAUCUGUUGAGGGGCUUGACUAAAAUCUUUUAAGUAAUUUGUGUAGUGGAAUACUGUCAGUGGAUUUUUUUGUCUCAUUUCUGCACGUGCUCCUUUGUUCUCAGAACAGAAGCUUUUUAUACACAUUCCAUAACGCAGCUGGAGAGUUAUGAAGUCAGUUAUUAUAAGGAACACAAAGGUUGCUUUCCAUUCUUUGCCUUUAGAUAACUAAUUUUUUUAUUUGUUUUCUUAAAAUGGAGUAUUUAAAGAAGGAAGGAAUUCACAAGAAAUAAACUGUUGGAGAAUCUAGAAAAGUUUGAAGUUUUUACCACCUUUUCUAUCUAUAGUUUUGUGUGGCCAACACUUGUGCCGCCUGGGGCAGUGGGGGUAGAGGCAAGCAUAGACAGAGAGGAACUAAGCCAGACAUGGACAAAGGCACAAGCCAAAACCAGACAGUCCUGGCCGUUCGAUAGGCCAGCAGUGGGUGAGACAGGUCAGCCAGCUGCAGGAGCAGGAGGGGGGGCAGGCAGGGACAUGGAUGUGUGAGGUGCUCAUGCGUGCGAUCGUGACUAGAUUCUGAAACUGCCAGCCAUUUUCCCAGCUCCGCUUUGUGCAAUCUAAAGGAAUGCAUCCCCUCUGAAGCAGUCUUGCGAGAGCCCACUGAGGGAGAGAAGUACGGUAAAUACCACGACAUAUGGAAUCAGAAAAUACCGGGAACUGGAGUGGGCAAGAGGGAAUGCAGAGGGUGUGGAAAUUUUUUAGUGAUCUGGAAUGUGUUGAGUGACAGGAAGUGCCCCAAGCUUCUCCCCCACCAACUCUUCUCAGUCGCGCCUGCUUUUGUCUAACUCUUGUAAUCUACACACUACUGCUUACAAAGCUGUCUGAGUUUAAGACAAAAAGAAACCUAAAAGUCUCCUCAUGUCAUAGUACCUGUGGAAGGAAUGUAAACGCAUGGCCCUUUAAACCUGUGGACAUUUUUUCAGGUAUACAGGAGAAAGAUAAAAUAAUUUUCCACAGAUAAAUGAGAACUAUGAAUUAUAGUUCAGGUUCCAAAUCUAAUUUUUUUAAAAAAUCCUGAGUAUACUAUACUUUACAAAUGUUUAAGUUGGUUCCUAAUUCAAAGGAGACUUAUUUUAUUUGAUUAAUACAUUGCAUUUGAACUUGUUUCUAUUUUCUUUGCAUAAAUUUGGACUUUGGGAGAAAAAUGCAAAGUAAUAAGUAGAAUGCACUCAGGGGAAAAAGGGAGGAUUUUUCCCUUCAUGAGUUGGAAAGUAUUUUAAAGGGCUGGUUUCUUGAAAAAACAAACUCUCUCUUACUUUUUACAUCUAUACUAUAAAGAUAACUUUAUGCUAUAAUAAAUAUAAGGUAGAAAAGUUUAAAGAGAAAAUAACAGUGUUCUAAGUGAAAAACUACUUGGCAUUUUUCCAGACAUACACAUUUUCAACAGAAACACUAAGAAUUAAGAGAAAAGGAGCCAAAUAAUUAAAUAGCUAGCCCUACUUCAGGGAUAUGAAAUAGAAAAUUAAAUGUGAAUAAAAUGAUACUUGGGAAUAUUGCUACCUCGUACCACAAAGGAUGUUAGUGGUCAGCCUAGGAGUUAAUCCUUCCUAGCGUGGCUCUGAGCCUUCAUGCCGAGCAGACGUUAUUCACAUGACGAUUCGAAAAGUCCAUUCAUAUAUCUCGCUACCUGGAUUUGAAUAGAAACCAGACAGCAAUUCUUUAGUUCCAGCCACCAUUCGCCCCACUGGACAAUAGAGAUUUGUUAGCACAGAGUCACAGGGCUGUGGGACACAAAGCUUGGAGCUGCAGAAAGAUGGGGGAUUCAGAGAACAGGAAAUUACAGGCUCGAUGCACUCCUGGCAGCUCUGAGAAUACAAAAAAAAAAAGGCAACACAGAGAUGCCAUGUUUAAGAGCUACUUCUAGCUUUUUUACCUCCAAUGUCAUAAAAGCUCUAUUGUUGAAGUACAUAAAGUCACGAGUCCCAUGUGCUCGCUUUUCUCACUACAGGGAACUUCAUUCAAUGUCCUUGGCACAGUAAGAAAUAUCAAAAGCAUCCUGAGUUGAUUAGUUGUAGACUCUAGUAGAAAGGAGAGUAUUUUAUAAAUAAAAUGUCAGGAGAAAAUAUGCUUAGUAACACAAGUGACACAUAAUAAAAUCAGUAUCUUUUUAAAAUUCCAAAAGACAAGAAAAAAAUAAAAUACAUCGAAACUCUAGGGACAUUAAUUUCUAAAAUAUCACAUAACCUCUAUUAUUUAAUUAUAUCCGAAUUUUCUUUAGAAGAUACAUAUCAAUUUACAGGCUAGUGUUAUACAGGAAACUUCUGAGUUCUGGAUUGUAUUUUCCAAAACAAAGAAUUAAAAUCAAAGUCCCCAGGGUUUAUUCUAGAAUAUUAGAAAGAAAAGCUACACUUUAUUGAUUAUCAAAUUAGUGUAGCUCCCUGGCUAAAUUUAGAAAUUGCCUCUACUUCCUUAAGACCUAAAAAAUAAAAUUAAUGAAUAUUCCAAGUGAGUAGGGGAGAGAGACUUCUCCAAUCUCAACAAAUGAGCAGGGGAAACAGUACAUGGAUUCUUGUCCAGGUCCUCAUGCUGCAACCUGAGCACCAACAGGCCAGACUGGUGUCCAUUUCAAUAGGAGGAGGAGACCCUGCACAAGGAAGCUGUAAAUGGUUUUGCUCUUCUGCCCUUCUGUGAUCCAUUAGCAAAUACAAGUCCUAAAUGAUACCAUAUCUGAAAGAUUCAUCAAAUGAGGCCAUGCAUGGUCAAAAAAUGCUUUGAAACAUCAAUUGUUCUCAUCUACUUGAUCCCAUGAUAAUAUGGUUUGAAGCUGAACACGUGUCAGAUUUAACGGUGCUGGAAAACAUAAUAGCAAUCUUUAAGCUACCAGCAUUUGGAUUUCCUCAAAUACUAUUAUUACUCACCAAGCACAAUCAUCAGUUACUGUUCCAAACUGUGUUGUCCAACACAGUAGCCACUAGCUCUAUGUGGCUAUUUUGAUUUAUAUUAAUCAAAAAUAAAAUUGAAAACUCAGUUUUUUAGUUAUACACACCACAUUUCAAGCACUCAAUAGCCUCAUGUGGCUAUCAUAUGGGAUAACCCAGAUAUAAGACUAUCAUGUGGCUAUCGUAUGGAUAGCCCAGAUGUAAAACAGUGCUAUCACUGAAGAAAGUUCUAUUGCACAGUGCUGAUCUAGGCUGUGCUUAUAACCAGCACACCUGUCUUCAACUACAAAACCAGCUGGACAUGAAAAAAUUUAAGUAAAAAAUACAAUGACAAGAGAAUUAGUGCCAUGAUACUUCAGAAAUGCCUUAAAAAGAAAAAAAAAAGCAUUUGAAACCAGGGAUGAGAAAAAAGGUCCAGAUCUAUUUUUUUUCCUUGGUUGCAAUGAAGACAUUACAAAGAAUAUUAGAGAGUACUGGAAGACAGGUAGUCGUGGCAGAGUAGAUGCAAUGCUCCAGAGUGGUACUAAUUGUCAAAAACUUCUUCCUAAACAUAUGAGACAAUUAAUUCUAUAGUUUUGUGGUAUCACAGCAAUGUACAAUAUGUAUAACAAAGAACCAGGGCCUAGAAGUCAGUUGGUCUUGAGUAGAUGUAUUACUAUCAACUUCACUAGCUAGAUGAUAUUAGGCAAAUUAAAUCACCUCUCUGAGACUUCAUAUCGCUAUCUGCAAAAUGGGGAAACAGACACCCUGCAGGAUUUAUAGAAGAGCUCACAAUGAAGUAUAUAAAGUAUCUAGUAAGAUGCCAGGCACAUGGUAGAGUCCAAAAAAAGAGUAGCUAUUAUUACUACAUUUUCCCCUUUAAAUAUUCACAAUGUGACUCUUGUAGACAGAUAAGAUACUAUUCAAAACACAAGGCAAGUCUUCAUAAACAAGUAUCCUAAAAUAUUAAUGCUGGCCAUGUCAACAAUUCAAUUGGAAUAAAAUGAAACAUUUGGACAGGAGAUUGCUUUUCCCAGCCAAUGUGUGACCAUGCUGUCCCAUGCAGCCUGCUUUGUCAAAAAAAAUCUCACGUUAUAUCUGGCUUACACACACACCACGUGUGUUCAGUCUUAUACUUAGGGAUAUAGGCUUAGAUUUUAAAUCAGAUGACAAAGGUCUAUAAACAGGAAGUAAACUUUUAUCUGAGUACAAAGCAAUGAUCUCCAAAUACUGGGAACCUGAUGCCUGGUCAGGAAAAUUUAAAAAGCUAUAUUAGAAAUGCAAUGAUAAGAAGUCUUAUUCUCCCUUGCUGAGAGGACAGAAGCAUUCAGAAAACCUUUAAAUGAAAAUCCUUAAAGAAAUGAUGAAUUGGGUCUUUUUUCCAAGAAACAUUUUAAACAAUCUAGAUUGUAUAACAGUAACAAUAGUAAGGAAUUGGCAAACACCCAAUGCAUUAUAGCCUUCGAUUAUUGUGAACGUGGUUUAAGACCAAGUGCAGCUUUCGUGGUUUUAAAAAAAUUUAGAAAGCCAAGGGAUUUCUAUGAUCAUCACAUGUCUUAACCCCAAAUCUACCAUCAAAUAAACUGGACAUGAUAAACAUGGAUGUGAGGUUCUUAAAUUCACAUGCCAUUCUCAGCCUAUCUUAUGCCUGCUUUGUACAAGAAACAUGAGUCUUAGGGUCAAGUGAACAGGGGCUUGACCUGGCUCUGCCCCUUAUUUACUACAGGAUCUUGUACAAGUCAUUUCCCCUCUUUGUUUCAGACUCUUCAUUCAUAAAAUACAAAUAUCAAUAACUUCCUGCCAGGCUGUUUGAAGAGUCAAGAAUAUGUAUAUACACACGGACCGGUGUUUCUGGUACAUGGAAAAUACUCUGGAAAUGCCAAUUCUGUAAAAACUCAAUAAGGGCUUGAGGUUCUGUUCAUUUUCUGAGAACUUUCCCACACACACAGAAUGAAAAUAGUACUGUUCCAGGCUGGUUCAUAGCACAGGACAUCCUCUGUUUAAAUUUUAAAUUAAAACAAACAUAUGAAUGUAAAAACUGUCAACACUGCACAAAUAACUUGUAAUCUUAGAAACAUAAACACUGAAUGAACAAACUAAAUACAGAAAAAUUAUUUGAAAAGUGAGGUGAAACAUCAGACUUCAGUAAUAUAAGGUAUAAUUUAACACUGAUACAAAGUUAGUACUGUUGAGUAUAAAAACAACCCUUUUCUUAAAUGAGAAUUAAUAUUUCCUGGAGACUCUUUUGAGUAAGAUUUCUACUACUUCCUCUUGGUGAUUAAAACAAAAACAUGAAAGUCCUAAAAUAAUGUCCAAGAGUUAGAAAUUAAAAUAACUUGAAGACAUAGAAAAGAAAAUUCAUGCCCUAAAAUCAAAGCUUUAAGAAGGAAUUCCUAGGCAAGAUAUUUUCCUACUAUAUCUGUGGAUUCAUUUUAAAGUUGAUAAUAAUCCAGCAGGAAUGAGAAUCAGGUGUUCCUUAAUGAUGCCAAAUAAGUGAAAAAUACUGGACAUGCCACAUAACCUUUUGAAGGACAUAAGCAGUAGAUUCUCUAAAGCAAACAAUGGAAGUGCGUAAGAAAGAUCAUGUGAUGUAGUUGAGAAGGAGACUUUUCUCACAGAAAUUGGCUGAACUAGAUAUGAUGUCACUCUUAGCUCUACCACCGUUUAGAUAAAUGACUUUUAACAAGUUGCUUCUGAGUCUCUAUUACCAUUGGUGGUCCAAAGAGCACAUUCAUACUAAAGGCUAAAAGAACAGACAGCACUUAAAGGUAAGAAUCUGGAUAUGCCAGAGAGGCCGCACAUUCAGCCCUCCAAUACCUCACCACCACACAAAAUGUUUUACAGGACUGCUGAAGCGGACGGAUGGAUGGAUGGAUGGAUGGAUGGAUGGAUGGAUGGAUGGAUGGAUGAAUUAAUGAAUGAAUGGAGUCUGAUGGCAAAGAUUUCCAUGGAUGCCAUCAUCAUUGACUGAUAAAUCAUAGAAGUUCUCCAGAGGAAAGGUUCCUCAAGAUCUUCAGCAGAUGGUACAGGUUCUUACUGAAUACUAAUCAAGUAUUUUUUUCUAGUCAUACAUCUAAUCAAUAUGAAGCUUCUAACAUGUAUUAGAACUAUUAGACACAGGCUGACCAAAUAUAUUACCUGCCUUCAUGGAGCUAACAAGCUAUAAACUCAGAUAAUCAUGGGCGAGAAGCCCUAUCAUUGAAGAAAUGGUAUGGGCCAGGCACGGUAGCUCACACCUAUAAUCCCAGCACUUUGGGAGAUGAAGCCAAGAGGAUCACUAGAGCCAGGAGUUCAAGACCAGGCUGGGCAAUAUGAUAAGACCCUUGUCUCUACCAAAAAAAAAGGGUAAAACUUAGCCAGACGUGGUGGUGGGUGCCUCUGGUCCCAGCUACACAGGAGGCUAAUGGCAGGAGGAUAGCUAGAGGUUGAGGCUGCAGUGAGCCAUGAUCAUCUCACUGCACUACAGCCAGGGUGACAGUGAGACCCUGUCUCAGAAAAAUAAAUGAAUAAAAUAAAUAAAUGGCAGUGAGCUGAGUUCAGAAAUUUUGGGGAUGGUCCAAUGAUUUGGGAAACUGCCUUGCCAUUUGUUAAAGUCAAACCAACAUAAUUCACAAAAUAAUGGAAAAAUAUGCUCAGCUCCAUUUCAUUCAUGCAAAGAAUUAUCCUAAACUGCAGGAUCUUAACAGACUUUCAGUGGAGUCAUCAGGCCAUUAAGAAAAUAAUAUACCUUCAAAUACAUAGGCUGAUUUCAUAAUUACCAUUAGUCAGCUCUAUGGUAAAUCACUAUCUCAUACAAAACUGAGUCACCUUUUAAUAGAUGUUUAAGAACAAGAUAAUUUCUGGAGAGGAUGAAACAAAGGAAGUCUGGAUACGGAAUGAUGUUGCAGAAGCAAUGAUACACAGGAGCAUUAAAUAUAAAGCAUAUUUUCUUAAUCUCCUUCCUGAAGACUAUGUUCUUAGCAGUUACCAUUUCCUUUAAUGACACAUGUUAUGAUAAUAAUAAUUACACAGCUAGCUAGAACUCAACUCAUGACUAAUCUGGCUCUUAACAACCAAGAAUACUUGAGACAUGGAUGAUAAAUAUGAAGAGAAUGAGAUACCAGAGUCACUACUGGGUUUCUGUGGCAAUUAAUCUUACAAACUAGAAACACGCCUACAGAGUGUCUACAUAUUAAUCUCUCCUUGGAUUGGAAUUUGCUCUUUAUUGUCUGAGGGUAAUACAAUGAAGUUGUGGUUACCAAUGCAGUAAAGUACAUUUUGCCACAAUGAAGCAAUGUUAUCUCCACAGGGUGUGAAGCUCCCAAGAUCCAGAAGUUCCAAUUAAGAAAUUUCUAUUCCAGUUACCUAACAUUAAAGAUGUUGGAUUUCCACCUAAAUUUUCUCAGUGGUAGACUCAGUAUCAUGUGGCUUUUUCUUUUUCUUUGUUCACUGAACAUUAAAGUCAAAUAGAAAAGAGGUCUGGCAAAUGUACUCAGAGCAAAUUAGGCAGUUACACCAAAAAGAAGACCUCAAUCUGGUUAUCUGUUAUUGUGACCAAGAUUUUGGUGGAAUUGCCUUUUUUUUUUUUUUUUUUGAGACAGGGUCUCACUUUGUCACCCAGGCUGGAGUGUAGUGGUGCAAUCUUGGCUCACUGCAAUCUCUCCACCUCCCAGACACAAGCAAUCCUCCUGCCUCAGCCUCCCGAGUAGCUGGGACUACAGGCAUGCACCAUCAUACCCAGCUAAUUUUUGUAUUUUUUUGUAGAGACAAGGUUUUGCCAUGUUGCCCAGGCUGGUCUUGAACUCCUGGGCUCAAGCAAUCCACCCGCCUUGGUCUUCCAAAGUGCUGGAAUUACAAGCAUGAGCAACCAUGCCUGGCCAACACUUGGCUUUCUAAUACCAUUACAUUUUGUCAAGCUCAUUUCUCUGUAUAAUCUUCUAUUACCAGAACAGAAAAAUUCCUUUUACCUGGCUAUCUAAGAGCUUCUAGGUAUACAGUUUAUUCAUUCAAGGGGUAUCUGUUGAAAGGUUAGUAUAUCCCAAACCCUGUUCUAGGCACCAGACACACAGCAGUAAACAAGACAGAGGUCUUAUACUUGGGCACCGUAGUCACAGAGACAACUUUGUAUCAGCUCGAGCACUUACUGACAUUGUGAAAUGUGCCUCUCUGAACCUCAGGUACUUCCCCUGGGGGAAAAAAGAAAAAUACUACUACUUCAUAGGGCUGUUGUAAGAAUUACAUGUUUGCCUGUGUCUAGCAUAGCACCUAGAACACCACAGAUGCUCGAUAUGUAGCUACAGUUUUACAAAUUGCAGAUAUUACUAUUAUCUACCCUACUUUCAUAUCCAUGUAUAUAAAGAUUAAUCUAGUUUUUAAAAAUAAAAGGUUUCAAAGGAGUAAGUAUAUCUAAAAUACUUGCUUCAGGUGUUAAGAGCCAAGCAGAACCAUUAAUGAAUGAAAUGCUACUGUAUAUUCCAAACACAAAACUACCUUAAAGUUGGGAUAUUAAUGGUAAAACAGAUCACUGUCCUCACACAGAUUUCAAAGGGUAGAGCAAUUUAUGUCUAGCAGUAUUACUAUUUCAACCGCUUUAAUCAGAAAUUGUAUAGAAGAAAAACAUCUAAAAGAUUUGGAGUCUCAAGUCCUAUCACAGCCAUCAAGAAGGGUAUAGAAAGCAUGUCUUUCCUCUGAAGACUGUUAUAAAAGCCUCAUAAAAAUGUUCCCUGAAGGAAUAUUCUUAGGCUGAUUGCAGUGAUAUACCUUGUAAAAUAACUUAUUUUUCAUCUUACAGUAACUGUAUGCUUAAUGCAAAUGGACUGAGAGUAAAAAUAUAAAGAUAAACAUUUAAUCAUAAUUUUUAAAGUUAUUGAUAAUCCCACAAGCUAAAGAUAUGGGCUGUCAACAUUCAAGAAUUUCCUUCUAGUCUUAUUCGUUUUAGUUAUUAGUGACUUUUAAAAUACAGUUGAUCCUUGAACAUCACAAGGGGUUAGGGGGACCGACCUCCCAUGCAGUCAAAAAUCCAUGUAUAAUUUUUGACUCUCCCAAACUUUACUAAUAGCCUACCUUUGACCAGAAGCCAUACUGAUAAACAGUUGGUUAACACAGGUUAUAUAUUAUAUUAUUAUAAUAAACUAGAGAAAAGAAAAUAUUAAGAAAAUCGUAAGGAAGGCUAAAUAUAUUUACUAUUCAUUAAGGGUAAGUGUAUUGUCAUAAAGGCCUUCAUCCUCACUGCCUUCACACUAAGUAGGCCUAGGAGGAGGAAGAGAAGGGGUUGGUCUUGCUGUCACAAGGGUGGCAGAAGAGGUAGAAGGGAAGGCAAAAGAGGCAAGCACACUCAGUGUAACUUUUACUGAAAAAUAUCCACAUGGCCAGGCACGGUGGCUCAUACCUGUAUCGCAGCACUUUGGGAGGACGAGGCGGGUGGAUCACUAGGUCAAGAAAUCAAGACCAUCCUGGCCAACAUGGUGAAACACUGUCUCUGCUAAAAAUACAAAAACAUUAGCUUGGCAUGGUGGUGCUCACCUGUAGUCCCAGCUACUCAGGAGGCUGAGGAAGGAGAAUCGCUUGAAUCCGGUAGACAAAGGUUGCAGUGAGCCGAGAUCGCACCACUGCACUGCAGCCUGGCAACAGAGCGAGACUCCAUCUCAAGAAAAGCAAAGCAAAGCAAGAUAUCCACGUAUGUGAGAACCCGCAUGAUUCAAAUCCAUGUUGUUCAAGGGUCAACUGUACUAGGAGUUUUUCUGCCAUUAUACAAAUGACACUGAUAUAUUAAUACAUAGAAAACUUAGAUAAUAUAGGAAAACAUAAAAAGUAAAAUUUGUCCCCUAUAAUCUCACUCACAGAAAAAAUCCUUACUAAUCUUAAUGUAGUUCAUACACAAUGGAAUCCAUUCUCAACAUUGAUUUUUCACAAUCAUUUGUUCAAGCAUAUUUUCAAGUCAUUAAAAAUGUUUUUUGCAGAUACCUGGAUGGUUUGCAAUUAUUCUCUACUAUAAAUACUAAUUCAAUGAACACACUUAUAAUGAAAUCACUAUCCAUGUUUCUGACAAUUUUUUUGGUCUGACCGAUUUAUACCCCUACCAGCAGGGACUGACAGUACCUGUCCCAUCCUAAGCUCACAAACACUGAGAAUGUGCUAUACAUAAUUAGCUGCUACCCAAAUAUAUUACAGUUUCUGUUUACUCAAUUAAGAAAAAAAGGGGAGUUUUUAAAGGAAAACUCAAUGUGAAAUAAAGAUAAGUAGGAAUCUCCCUAAUAAGACAAAUUAUACAUCCCUAACAAAAACCAGACAGCUGACAGCAAUCUUGAAAACCCUCUAACAGAACACAGCAUAGUAUCUGGCUCUAGAAAUCUCAAGAAGUAAAAAAAAAUCAAAAUAAAACAUUCUUCUCAUGCAUGUAUUUCAUUAACCAAUGAAAUGAAUCAAGAAUCACUCUCACCACUGAAGAAAAUAAAUGACAUCAAAAACAUUGUUGAUAAAUUAAGAGGUAUAAAAAUGAAAGUUUUUAUGUCUGAAUUAUUUAAAAUUUUUGUCAGCAAAUAGUUCUAAAUAUGGAUAUAUAUUUUGGUUUCCCAAAUAUAACAGAAAAAUAUAUAAAUUAUUAUCAAGGUAAGCAAAUAACCAAAAUAGCAUUUAUUCAACAAAUACGUAUUGAACAACUUGGUUUCAGGUAGUUUCACGUACAAGAGAUUCAAAGUUGUCAGAAAGAGUUCUUUCUUCAAAAAUCUUGCCUACAGUAACCUUUACAAUGUGGUCCUCUUAUAUCACAAAACAUUUGCCCUGCCUAACUGUUGAAAUUUCAGGUUUCAGACUGUGGCUAGAAAAAGGAAAACAUUUCAAGACAAUGAAUAAUCAAAUAUCAAAAUUUCUUGGGCGGGGAAAAAGUCACUACAAUCCAAUGGGAUAGAUUCCAUUAGCCUGGCCUCUCACCAGCACACAGAAAUAUUUACCCAAGUACCUACAGUCAAGAGGAAUUCGAGUAGCUGGGAUUACAGGCACGCACCACCAUGCCUGGCUAAUUUUUAUAUUUUUAGUAGAGAUGGGGUUUCACUAUAUUGACUAGGCUGGUCUCGAACUCCUGACCUCAAGUGAUCUGCCCACCUCAGCUUCCCAAACUGCUUGGAUUACAGGGGUGAGCCACUGCGCCCAUCCUUAUUUUCUUGAUUCAUAGGAAUAAAUAUGUAUAGUAGGCCCACAAGAAAUAUUUAUCAAGAUUAUAGCAAGUUAGAGAAACUUAAUGUCUUAUUUGGUUUUUUUUUUUUUUAGACGGAGUUUCGCUCUUGUUACCCAGGCUGGAGUGCAAUGGCGCAAUCUUGGCUCACCACAACCUCCACCUCCUGAGUUCAGGCAAUUUUCCUGCCUCAGCCUCCCCAAUAGCUGGGAUUACAGGCACGCACCACCAUGCCCAACUAAUUUUUUGUAUUUUUAGUAGAGACGGGGUUUCACCAUGUUGACCAGGAUGGUCUCGAUCUCCUGACCUCGUGAUCCACCCGCCUCAGCCUCCCAAAGUGCUGGGAUUACAGGCUUGAGCCACCACGCCCGGCCAUGUCUUAUUUGUUAAAGGGCAGAGUAGAAUAAAAACUUUAAAAUAAGAAACUUACAUACUGUUUUCCCCCUACCUUUCCCCCAACAUAAAUAUGGUCAACAUAUUUCUUAGCCUGGCAGGGUGGUUCAUGCCUGUAAUUCAGGACUUUGGGAAGCUAAAGCAGGAGGACUGCUUGAGGCCAAGAGUUUGAGACCAGCCCAGCCAACAUAGCAAGACCCCAUCUCUACAAAAACAAUUAAAAAAUUAGCCAGGUGUGACGGCCCAUGCCUACUGUCCUAGCUACUUGAGAGGCUGAGGCAGGAAGAUGGCUCGAGCCCAGGAGUUGCAUCAGUGGGCUAUAAGGACAUUGUACUCCAACCUAAAAGACCAAGUGAGACACUUUCAAAAAACAAAACAAAACACCUAUUUCUCAAAUUUCUUUUAUGUGUCUAUUUUCAGAUCAUUCUUGGUCAUUGAGAAAAGGUCUAAAAAGCUAGGAAAUGAGAAGUCUUACUACUCGAUUAUUAUAUUCUGAUAUUAUGCCUCCAGGUUAGCUCCAUGCAGAGGCAGCUGACAAACACAGCUUCAGCAAACAUCAUGAUUCCUUUAUGAUUCACUGUCAACAAUUAGUGACUGAGGACAUGAAACAGCAUGAUCAGGGAAGAAAUUCAGAGCAGAUGAAGCAAAGGGUGUGUUUAGGAGCAGUGAGGACAAGAUGUGGCUUAGCAGUAGGAUACUGGAGGCCCAAUAAUAAAAGCCCAUGUCAGGUUAAAGGGUUUAGAUUUUUAUCUAAAGAUUGUCAGGAUAUCAGGUUGUCAAGCAAAGUUAAAUUUGCAUUUAGCAACUGGAUGGAAAACAGAUUAGAAUUGGGAAGACUGGAAGCAAGGAGACCACUUGGGCUGUUGCAGCUGUUCAGAAAAAAAAAUUGUUUUGACCACAGUGGUGGCAGUAAAGAUGCAAAGGGCUGUCAUAUGCUACAUGAGUGAAUUUGAGGACAUUAUGCUAAAUGAAAUCACCAAACAACAACUACUGUAUGAUUCUACUUACAUAAGAUAUCUAAAGCAGUCAAAUACAUAGAAACAAAGUAGAAUGGUGGUUAUGAGGAACUGGGAUGAGGGGGGAAGUGGGAGCUGUUUAAUGGGUACAGAUCUUCAGAAUUCUGAAGAUCUGUUGCACAACAAAGUGACUAUACACUACUGAACUGUAUAUUUUAAAGGGGAUAAGACAGAAAAUUUCUUACAUGUUUUAGCCACAAUUUAUUUAAAUAGAUAUGAACUAGACUGCUUGUGUGUGUGUUUUACAUUUUGCUCUAUUCAACCUCUGAAAAAUGUCUCCUGCUAUAUUCCUGAGUUUUAAAAUGAAUUAUCACCAAAUGGGAUCUGAUUUGCAAGGCACCAUAAAGUUUCACAAGACCCCAAAUAGCUUACUCUAUUACUUUGUCAUGGUACUUAAUAUUUCCUCCAAAGACAUUUAUUCUUUUUUUUAAAAAGAAACAUGCUUAAAAUAUUCAUUGAAAAAUACCUGAAAUAUAAGAAGUAUUAUAGAAUAAAAAGUGGGAACUCACCAACUUUCUCACAAACCUACUCCUGACCUAAAGUAUUAUUAUUAGAUAACCUAAGUUUAUCUAAUGUAAAUACACAGGAAAAUGUAAAUAUAAAGGAAAAAGUCAUUCUUUAAGGUCAUUCUUAAGUGACUAAAACAAAGCCAAUAACUAGAGAUGGUAUUUUAACAAAAGCCCUUGAGUUCCAUGUUUCACCUCAAACUUUUAAACCCAGUUGCUUUUUUUUAAAAAAAAUUUUUUUUAUUCAAGUGUAAAAAUAUAGUAAAGUGCACACAUCUCAAACAGUUCAAUCAACUUUCACAAAGUGAACAUACCUAGAGAAUCAACGUCUAAAUCAAGAUGUAAAAUACUACUAACACCUCAGAACCUUGUGCCCUCCAGCCAUUCUACCCUCAAUAAAGGUAACCACUAUUCUGAUCUCUAUCAUCUAGUUUUGUCUAUUUUUGAACUUUAUAUAAAGAGAAUCCCAUACUAUGGAAUACUUUGUGCCUGACGUUUUUUGCUCAACAUCCUGUCUAGGAGAUGCAACCACGCUGCUGCAUGCUGUGAUGGUGUAUCCUUAUUACCACUACGCAGUAUUCCAUUACGUGUAUUUUCUCACUCUUAUUUGUCCAUUCUACUAUUAAUGAAUAUUUAGUUGUUUCUAGUUUGGGACUAUUACAAAUAAUGCUACUAUAUACAUUCUUGUAUUUAUCUUUCAGUGCACAUGUUAUGCAUUUUUGUUGGGUAUAUGCCUAGAAAUGGAAUUGCUUGGCUGGGCACAGUGGCUCACACCUAUAAAGCCAACACUUUGGGAGGCCAAGGCAGGCAGAUCAUGAGGUCAGGACUUCGAGACCAGCCUGGCCAACAUAGGGAAACCCCAUCUCUAUUAAAAAUAUAAAAAUUAGCCAGGUGUGGUGGCACGCAUCUGUAGUUCCAGCUACUCAGGAGGCUGAGACAGGAGAAUGGCUUGAACCCGGGAGGCAGAGGUUGUAGUGAGCUGAGAUCAUGCCACUGCACUCCAGCCUGGGUGACACAGCGAAACUCCAUUUCCAAAUAAAAAAAAGGAAAGGGAGGGGAGGGAAGAAGGAAUGGAAUUGCUUAAGUUCAAGUUUCCCAGAUGCUACUAGAAGUUUCAAAGGAUUUGGAUCAAUUUAUACUCCACUUCUGCCAACAGAAUUUGAGUGGUCCAGUUGUUUUCACCAACAAUUUGUAUGUCAGUCUCGUGGGUAUUCAGUAGCAUAUCCUUAAUUUUAGCCAGUCUGGUGGGUAUGCAGUGGCAUAUCCUUUUUCUAAAUUUCAUUUCUCUGUUAUUUAGUGAUGCUGAGUAUUUUGGGCUAGAUUCUGAUAGAUAUUUGAGGGGCAGACUUAAUAAAUCUUAGUGCCUAAUUGGUUGGGGAGAAAGAAAAGAAACAUCUAGAAUAAUAGAAAAAUGAAACAUCUAUCAUGAUAGAAACAUCAAGAAUGAUAGAAAAAUAAAAGAUAUUUGGAGAGAGGGAGGGAACAGAAACCAUUUUCAUUUCUGAAAUGAUUAGGUUGUGUUUACCCAAGAGUAACUGACAUGUAAGAUUCAAGAACGAACUACAGCUGAGCUAGGCAUGGAAGCUCAUGCCUAUAGCCUUAGCACCUUGAGAGGCCGAGGCCAGCGGACUGCUUGAGCCCAGGAGUUCAAGAUCAGCCUCAGCAACAUGGCAAAACUCCAUCUCUAGAAAAAAUACAAAGAUUAACCAGGUGUGGUUGCAUGUGCCUGUAGUCCCAUCCACUUGGGAAGUCGAUGUGGGAGGAUCACUUGAACCCAGGAGGUUGAGGUUGUCAUUACAGUGAGCUAUGAUUGGACCACUGCACUCCAGCUGGGUGACAAAAAAAGAGUUAACUGCAUGCAACUACUGAGACUUAGUGGACAUAUGAAGGUUCUCCCAUAAAACUCCCAUAAUUUAAAACAGACCAAAAAACUCCAAUGUCAUACUGCCAUAUCUCAGGUGGUAAAGAAAAUAAAUUUACAAUCCUAAGGAGGCAAAAUAAACUAAAGUACAAUACCUCAAAACGAGAAUCUCAACCUGGGUGUGGUGGUAUGUGUCUGCAGUCUUAGCUACUUGAGAGGCUGGGGCAGAAAUAAAUAUCACAGAUGCUUAAGAAUGUCCCACUAUGAGCUGGGCAUAGUGGCUCUUGCCUGUAAUCCCAGCACUUUCGGAGGCUGAGGCAGGAGGAUCACAAAGUCAGGAGUUCGAGACCAGCCUGACCAACGGUGAAACCCUAUCUCUACUAAAAAUAAAAUUUUUUAAAAAAUUAGUCAGGCAUGGUGGUGCGUGCCUGUAAUCCCAGCUACUCAGGAGGCUGAGGCAGGAGUAUCACUUGAACCCAGGAGGUGGAAGUUGCAGUGAGCCGAGAUCAUGCCACUGCCCUCCAGCCUAGGCGAGAUCAUGCCACUGCCCUCCAGCCUAGACACAGUGAGACUCCAUCUCAUAAAUAAAUAAAUAAAUAACCCACUACAACUUCUAGCAAUCCCUGUGAAGAUAUAAAAAAGAAAUCUACAGUCAUGAAUCCUAGGCAAAUAUAAUUAAAGAAAAAAGUUAAAGCUUUCAUAAAAGAUAAGUUCACUAAAUGCAUGGUUUCAUGAAGACAUUAGACAAAAAUCUCCUGUUUUCAAACAAUAAGGUCAUCUCUAACACCUAUCAAGUUUCUCUAUUGUGAGCACCUAAAAAAAGAUAAACAGGAGCAAUGAUUAAUAAACAAAUAUGUGAGGAUUAAGAAUGAGGAACAAGAUUUGGAACUAGGCUCUGUCCUCUGAGAUUCACCUCAUUUUCCAUCACAUACUAGGUGGUAGUUAAGACCUUGGUCUCUGUAGUCAAGCAAACCUGUCUUCAAAUCUUAGCUCUGUAUGUUCUUAGCUAUGUGACCCUCGGCAAAUGACUUUUCUCUAGCUUCACUUUUCUCAUUUCCAAAAUGAGAAUAAUCGACAUAACCAUUGUCAACAUUAAAUGGGUAAUAUAAGCACUUAGUACAAUGCCUGACCCAUAGUAGGUGCUCCAUAUAUGUUAGCUGAUAUUAUCACCUGUGAAAUGGAGACCAAUUCACACACCCAUAAGACUGAAAAGAAGUAAAAUGACAUGUAUAAUGCCUAGGUACACAGGAGGCACUCAAAUGGUAGAUAAUGUUACCCCCUACACUUUUCAGGAACUCCCUAUCAUUCAGUGUCAAACUGAGUAUGAAACGAUACAUUAUGAAGCUGGAUUUCCUGAGUUCAAAUCCUGGCUCUGCCACUUAUUAUCUGUGUGAUCUUGAGCAAUUUAUUUCCCUUACUGUGUCUUUCUAUUUUCAUCUGUAAAAUGAGAAAAACAAAAAGUAUUUAUCUAAUUGGGUUGUUGUGAGGAUAAGACAAGCCCUCUUUUAACUGCUUUACAUAUAAAGUCCUAAAAAUAAAAUCUGGAACACAAGUGCUAUAUAAAUAUUAAUUAUUAUUAUUUUUUUUUCUUUUUUUUUGAGACGAAGUCUUGCUCUGUCACCCAGGCUGGAGUGUAGUGGCACAAUCUCGGCUCACUGUAACCUCUGCCUCCUGGGUUCAAACGAUUCUCCUGCCUCAGCCUCCCCAGUAGGUGGGAUUACAGGAGCCCACCACCAUGCCCUACUAAUUUUUGUAUUUUUAGUAGACACAGGGUUUCACCAUGUUGGCCAGGCUGGUCUCAAACUCCUGACCUCAUGACCUGCCUGUCUCGGCCUCUCAAAGUGCUAGGAUUACAGGGCCACUGUGCCCAGCCCCUAUUAUUGUCUUAAUAGCAGAGAUACACAUGCUUUGAGGCUGCUUCACAUUAAAGAAAUAGAUUUGGAGAUAAGUAACUUAACAUUUUUCUUAUAUUUAAGAAUGGCCCAAUGGAAAUAUACAUAUACCCAUCUUCAAAAUUGGGAGAAAAAAAGGCUGAAGGAAUAGCAAAUUAUAGCACAGGAACUAUGUAACUCCUAAGCAAAUGUGACCUCAUCCAUCCAGAAACGAGUAUGAAAAAAAUGUAUUUUCUAGCUGUGCCUUAACCAUGUAAUCAGUUAGAUAAAGGAGUCCUACAUUCCAGAGAGAGAAAAGGAAAUCAUUCUUUUUUGCUCUUACCUUAUAACAAACUGAUAACCAACACAGCUAACCUUUGUGCAUUCUCACAUCUUUUUUAGAUGAAGAAAAUAUCUCUUAGAACAGAAUAAUCAAUUCUGGAAGCUUUCUUAGAAAUGCCUUCCUGCAUUACACUAGUCUUUUCUUCCCACACUCCACAUACUUCAUCCCUGGGCAGGUCAGAAGAGGUAUCUAAAGAGGCAAAAAUGCGAGCAAGUAAGCAUUCUUUAGAAAUGAAAGGAAAUACUGUGCUUCUUCCUAGAGAGUCAUGGAGUUCAUCCUGAGAACUGGCUUCUGCUGCUGACUUACAAAGCAAACAAAAUACUGAACUGUAUAAACAACAAAUAAAAUCAGUGAAUUGUAAUUUACCUAAGAGUCUGUGCCUCCUACCGGAUUGUAACUUAUUGAAAAUAUACCUUAUUCAUUACCAGCAUCUAGCACAUUGCCUGGUUUACACUGAAGGUGUUCAGUAAGUGUUGAUUGAAUAGAGUCAGUGAGCAUCUCCUACUUGUACAAGGUACUGUUAGGUGCCAGACAGCCGAUAAUGGUUCACUUAUGUUGAUGUCAAAGAUUUUUAUUUGAAAUUUAAAUAUAACCAGGUCUGGCUAAAGAACUGGAGCUGUAGUUGCACCUGCUAUCAACUCAGAUUUAUUCCCAAUAGUAAAGCUACCCUCAUCUGCAUGCCUUCUGAUAUUUCUCCCAAAUGAUUAGAAGCCACUUCCCAUGUAGCCCUAGUGUGUAAUUCUUUCUGCUCAGCAAAGGAGGCAGUCUAGAAUCUUUAGUCAUAAAAAUGAUGGUUAGCAACAAUAAGCAAGUGCUGGGCAAGCCCAGUACACUUCCACAUGAAAUCUUUCCAUCUAGAAUUCUCAAUUGAAGGUGCCAGACUCAAUCCAGAACAUCUGGAUCUGCUUCUCUGGCUUCAAGCUUUCUCCAAGAGAGGCUAGGAAAGAAGUAUGCUCUUCCCAGUAUGUGUAUGUGUAAUUGUAUAUUCAAAUACUGUACUUUGGAUAAGAGUCCAAGACUUGGCAAAUGGAUGGAAUGUAGUAGAUGGAACUGCCUGAAUAGAUACACAUGCUAAGAGAAGGGUUUUCUUGCAAAAUAUAAACAGGCAUGGUGUGAAUUGCCCCUCUGUGUCACGAGUUAGAAUUCACCCAGGAGAGUAAAUUCUUAGGAAUCAGUGGGGGAAUAACAUGUGAGAGGCAAAACAGCACCAUUCCCUUGGAAAACAGCAAAUUUAUCAAACAAUAACUCUUUACUUCCCCCUUAAAUAAGACAAGUAAGACAAAUAUAUGUAAUUAUAAUUCAAUCCAUACAGAAAAAAAUAUUGAGCUGCAAACUCUGGCAAACAGACAGUGCUGAAAUUAAACAUUGUGAGCUUUGGCAGCUGCACCAUGUACUCUCAAAUUCUUACAUCAUUACUCUGGUAAGGGCCCUGUACCAACUUGGCUCGUUCUGAUGUGGUUGGGAGGGAGGAUUUCUAGCCUUUUAUUUAAAAAAAAAAAAAAUGACCAAUAUAUAUAGCCCCUUUUCGUGCCACAGGGAAAUAAAUAUCUCCUUUUUCUCCAGAUUUUGCUUUAAAAGACAAAGCCAUAUUGCCACGUUAUUAAGAAAGUGUUAGAAAUUAUUAUGAGAUACUUAAGGGCCACUUAAUACAAGUUCUAAAAAGACUGCUAAAACAGUACAUGGAUCUCUCUAAAAGUAGCGAUAAUACAACAAUAAAGAGUCAGUUUACAGAGUGAUGAUUACCUUCUUAUUUAUAUUCUGAUACUGGAAGCUUAAGUAUUAUAGGGGUUAAGAAAGGGGGAGCCCUCCCUUCUUUAGCCAUGAGAACUUGAACAAGUUACUUAACCACAGAUCCUCAGCAUCCUCGAAUACCAAAUGAAAUAGUAAUGUCACCAUCUGAGAUGGUUCUUCUCACAAGAUCAGAUAUAUGGCAAGUCCUCAAUAAGUACUAGACAAACUUAUGAAUGACAGAACCUUUAAAACUGGUAAUUAGAGUUAUCAUAUAUACUUAACAGAGCUAAAUGGUCACCUUUACUUCACUCAUAUUCAAGACUGAAAAGAGCUUUCACAUAAGCUAGUUUCAAGAUCAGAACUGGGUUUGUCCCCUUUCAACAACUGACACCACAAAAAUAAGACUUCAUUCUCUGUUUCCCUCCAGUAGCAUCUAAGAAAAACACAAAAUUCCAAACCUCAAAAAUAGCAGUUUAAAGAAGGGGAGAAAAAGGCCUUAGUGCUUAUAAACUAGAUAUAUAAUUUGACAUGCUUAGAGUGAUAGGAUUAUUUUUCCUAUCAUGAAAUAUUUCAAAUUUUCCUAAAAAAUGGUAAUAAUAGUAUAGUAACUACCAAUAUUUACUUUCAAACAAUUAUUACCGUUUUGCUUUUUUUCUGGAGACAGUCUCACUUUGUUACCCAGGCUGGAGUGCAGUGGGUCGAUCUCAGCUCACUGCAGCUUCAACCUCCCAUACUCAAGUGAUCCUCCUGCCUCAGCCCGACAAGUAGCUGGGACUACAGGUGCUCACCACCACACUGGCUAAUUUUUGUAUUUUUUUGUAAAGACGGGAUUUCAUCAUGUUGCCCAGGCUAGUCUUGAAUGCCUGAGCUCAAGUCAUCUAUCUGCCUGCUUCAACCUCCCAAAGUGCUAGGAUUACAAGCGUGAGCCACUGUGCCAAGCUUUGUUUAACCUUUUGAGGUAUAAUUUACAUAUGGUAAGGUAAACAAAUCUUAAGUUUGAUAAAGUGUUUUCAUAUGUAUUAUAUAUGUUAACUACUAUCCAGAUCAAGCUAUGGACACACAUUUACUGCUGCCCACAAGAUUCCCUUGUGACCUUUCUCUCCAAAACAUACUUACCAUUCUAAUCUCAGAGUAUUAUUUUUCACAUUAGGUUUUCCUUUUACCACUAAUAACCAAAUCCAGCCUUUACUUUUCUGUUUUCUUAAUAGUUUGCCAACGUCUAUUUCAAUCCUAAGUAUUCUGGCUACAUGACCCCAUGAAACAGAGAAAGUCUAUAUAACACGAAAAGACCUUACGAUUUAGAAUGCACACAAGCCUAACAUCUUUAAAGGGUCCAGAAGACUGAGAAUGCUACUGUAAAAGAAACCAAAAGGAAACAUGGAAUUCAUUUUGAUUUAAAUAAAUCCUAAAGAAAAUGCACUAGACUGUUUCUUUAAAAAAAAAAAAAAAAGCCUGUAAUUAGUAUAGAUUUCUAAAUCAUUAAGAGAAUAUCUUUGUUAAGAAUAUUCAGCUGAAUAUUUAAACCUAAAUGUUUUUAUUAGCUGUCAGUAUCUGAGUAAAUCCCAUUCCAGUUGCAUUUUCCUUAAACUUCACAACCAUUUUAAGGUCAUGCUCUCAUGCCUAGAAGCUGACAACCUUCUUAAAAGAGCCUACACAAUCUUAGCCCUACUCCAUAUACACAAAUUAAAAGAGAACUCUAAUCAUCACUUUUUCUUGGAGUAAUGUCCUAAGUCUGAAUAAUGUACACAUCAUCACCCUUCAGUAACUGUAAAACUUAGCAUUUCAAUCAAAUGACACAACCUAGCUGAUCUGACAUAUUGAGCAACACGCACCACUGCUCAUGUAGCCGAACAACACGUAACUGCAAAUUACUUUGGUACAUGCAAACCAAGCACUUCUAGGGACAACUGGAGAACAAUGAAGUGAGAGAGAAGAUGUAAGUGUAAUAACAAAUGCAAUAACCACUACCUUAUCAUAAAGGUUGUUGUAAGUGUUUACUAAGAUAAUAUAAAGAAAGGCUAUUACUGUUCUUACCUCAUCACCUCCUUAGACUUACCUGGACUAAGUUAUGAUUUGAGAAAUGCCCUUCCCUCACUUCCAUCUCCUGGAAUGGAACAAAUAAGGAUCUGCUUCUCACAGCCAAACUCUCUCUAGUUCAUUUAUAUAACUGAAUAUUCCUGGAAGAGUUAAGAAGGAAACUUUUGGAUAAAUUCCUUUAGUCAGUUUGCUUUCAUAUAGCCCAGUUAAGACCUCACUCAGGAAAUAAAAUUUUAAGAAAGUAGUAAGAAAGCCCCAAAGGGGAGGGAUCCAGUCUUAACUUUCUAGAAGCAAAAAAGACAUGCUGAGGUCAUUCUAGGAAGAAAAGGCAGCUGGCCCCAGUGGUCAUGCCUGUAAGCUACUCAGGAGGCUAAGGCAGGAGGACUGCUUAGAAACCGGCCUAAGCAACACAGCAAGACCCCUGUCUCUAGAAAUUAAGAAAGAAAAGGCCUCCAUUUUGUGUGUGGCUUACAAAAACAGAGCAAUUUUUAUAACUGGUUGCUUCUGAUCAGUAUUCAUUUUGGAGGCAUGAAUUCACCUGCCAGUUAUUGGCUAUACUGUGACUGACACCUUUGUUCGCCAAACUGAUUUGUUAAGCUGUAAACUGACUACUUCCAAUGCUAAAACGACUAGCAAGCUGGACCUGUGCAGCUUUCUUCUAUCUGCCUUAAUCUAAAAACUAAAUGUAGUAUCAAAUCUACUCAGCAGGUCCACACCUGCCCCCCACCCCACCAAUUAUCUUGUCAUAGAACCAACUGUAAGGAGCCAAAAAGGGUAAUAUUUAACCAAGACACAACUGCUUGCAGUAUAACAUUAGCAGUAAAAACAAAAAUGUUUUUCAUUACUUUUCAAAUCUUAAGAGUUUGAAAAAAGGCUAAGCAUGGACGCUCAUGCCUGUAAUCCCAGCACUUUGGGAGGCCAAGGCAGUGGAUCACUUUAGGUCAGAAGUUCAAGACCAGCUUGGCCUACCUGGUGAAACCCCAUCUCUACUAAAAAUACAAAAAGAAAUUAGCCAGUCAUGGUGGCAAAUGCCUGUAAUCCCAGCAACAUGGGAGGCUGAAGUGAGAGAGUCACUUGAACCGGGGAGCUGGAGGUUGCAGUGAGUCAAGAUCAUGCCACUGAACUUGAGCCUGGGCGACAGAAAGAGAUUCCAUCUCAAAAAAAAAAAAAAAAAAAAAAAAAAUUAAGAGUUUGAAAAAAAGACCUAACACCCACCAAAAUUAUGGAUGCAACUUCCAAAAUAGACAAGAUUAUAUGGUGAUUAUUUGUAUCUCAAAAGGAAAUUCUGAGUUACACAUUAUAUGUAAUGAUACAUAUAGUCAAAUGUGUUUAUAUGUGUGUUUACGUACAUAUAUGUGAAUCAUGAUGUGUAACAUUCAAAGAAUGUUCCAAAAAGGGGCUAUUUCUUACUAAUAGCUACUAAAUGCUAAACCCUGCAAAAGGCACUAUUAACCUCUCCAUCUGGACACUACUUGGCAUGCUGUAUAAUUGCUCAUUUUCCCAAAACCAUAAAAAAGUAAAUGCCAUGUGAUUUAAUUCUUAUCCCCCCUGCAAUCAGAAUCCACAUAGAAACAAUAUUGUCCAAUCAACAUCUAUUAAAUAAACUGAACUGACUUAAUAAUAAAAAGAUAAACUUGAGCACAGGGAUCAGUGAGGCUCAGAAAAUACAGUGUUUACGAUGUGAACACACAAAAACUGAGUGUAUAAAGUACAGAGGAAAAAAGAAGUUGCUAAAUAUUUAGGCAAUAAGCAUUGACAGAUCAACCUUUAUUGAGCUCCACUGUGCAAACAAGCCCCAGGGAGAUGCCAAACAAUACAGGGUUUGUCUCCUCUCAUAUAGCCUACUGCAGCCAUGAAUAUUAGCUCUGAAGGGACUAGGGGAUUUUCCCACCAUUUGCCUAACAUCUGAACUCCAAACCACUGGUUCUCAAAGUGGGGUCCACAUAUGUCUCCCAGACUCUUUCUGGGAGUCUGAAAAGUCAAAACUACUACCAUACUAACUCUAAGACUUUAUUUGCCUUUUUCACUAUGUUGACCUUUGUAAUGAUGGUACAAAGUCAAUGCUGGGUUAAACUGCUGCACUUGGCAGUAAUUAAGCAGUGGCACCAAAAUGUACCAAUAGUCACUGUAUUUGUCACUGUCACACACUACAGAAAAAAGGAAGGAAAGCCAUUUUAACUUAAUAAUGUCCUUGAUGAAGCAGUAAGGUUUAAUAAUUUUAUUAAAUCCUGACCCUGAGCAAACAUCUUUUAAAAUAUUUUGUGUAACAAAAUGGUAAGUACAUAUAAACCACUUCUGUACACUGGCUGCUUCAAGUAGCAGCACUGGUGUUAUUGUUUAAGUUAUAAGCUGAACUAGCCCAUUUUUUAAAUUGACUAUCACUUGACUUACACUGAACAAUCUGUAGUUAUUCACACUUGGGUAUUUGACAGAUAUUUUCUUGAAAAGGAACAAAGUGAGCGUGUCACUUCAAGGAAAAUAAGUGACAGUAUUUGUUGCCAAUCAUAACAUUUGAGCUUUUAAGCCAAAAUUAGAAUUUUGGGAAACUUUUAUUGUCACUGUGAGCUUCACAGGUUCCAGAUAUUUAAAGACAGGUCUGAUGAGUUCAAUGAUGAUAUUAGCAAACUUAAUUUUGUGAUAUUAUGUAAUAUGUCAAUAUUUAGAAAAUCUGCAUAACUCAGUGAACAAGUAUUUUCCAAAUGACCAAUGUAUUAUGUUACAAAAUCAUGUCUGGGUAAAAAAUCUAUGAAAAAUACAAGACAGACAAAUGAAUUUUAAUAAAAUCAAGUAUGGAAAGCUCAUUGAUAUAGUUUGAUUCCAUACUGCAACUAACCUUUAAACUACCAAGUAUUAAGAUCUAGUACAGUAUCAAAAGAAGAAUAUGCAAAAUUGCCUGAAGUGACCAUAAAAAAAUCUUUUUCUAUGUAUCUAUGUAAAACCAGAAUUUCUUCAUACACUUUAACCCAAACAAUAUAUUGUAACAGAUAUAUGCAGAUAUGAAAAUUCAGCCAUCCUUUAUGAAGUCAGACAUUAAAGAGAUCUGCAAAAUUGUAAAAUGAUGUCAUUCGUCUCAACAAUUUUUAAAAGAUAUUUUUAUAGCUUUAUUUUAAAAUGUUACUUAAUAUAUAAUGGUUUAUCACUUUUAUUUAAUCUUUAAAUGAAUUAAAAUAUUUUUAAGCUUCUAAAUGUAAUUUCUAGAAAGUAAAAAUUGAUAGUUAUAGCCCACAUAAAUAAAAGCUCUUGAGAACGUCAAUAAUUUUUAUGAAUGUAAGGGGGUCCCUGGGACCAGAAAGUUUGAAAACCAUUGCUCUAUGGACAAUAAUCUUUGUGCGGCAAGAGAUCUUAGGGGUCUUGAUUCUGUUUGGUUUAGGCCGAUAAAAUUUUUUAUGAAAAAGUAUGGAAACUGAAGUAUCAUAUACAAUAGUCAAGACUUGAAUCAAAGGCCAGACAUGGUGGCUCACGCCUGAAAUCCCAGCAUUUUGGAAAGCUGAAGUGGGAGGAUUACUUGAGUCCAGGAGCUCAAGAGCAGCCUAGGCAACACAAUGAGACCCUGACUCUGCAAAAAAUGAAAAAAUUAGACAUGGUGAUGCAUACCUGUGGUCCCAACAACUUGGGAAGCUGAGGUGGAAGGAUCACUUGAGCCCAGGAGGUUGAAGCUGCAGUGAGCUGGGAUCACGCCACUGCAUUCCAACCUGGGUGACAGAGCGAGACUCUGCCUCAAAAAAAUAAAAGAAAAAAAGACUUAAAUUUGCAUCUCCUGACUUCAAUUUUAUAUUCUUUCUACAUCACAAUUCCUCUGCUCACAAAGACGAUGAUUUAGAAACCCCUCGGUCCAUUCUUUAGAGUAAGCUGGAAGUUUGGUCAUAUAAUUACAAUAAUAGUAGUAACAAAUUUGAAUGUUAUGUGCCAGGUGUUUUUAUAUCCCUGCUCUCACUUAAUUCAUACCACUCUGUGAGAUAAAUACAAUUGCUGCAGGUGUGGUGGCUCACACCUGUAAUUCCAGACUUUGGAAGACCGAGGUGGGUGGAUCACCUGAGGUCAGGAGGUAGAGACCAGCCUGGUCAACAUGGUGAAACCCCAUCCCUACUAAAAAUACAAAAAAUAGCUGGGCAUGGUGGCAGAUGCUUGUAAUCCCAGCUACUUGAGAAGCUGAGGCUGGAGAAUCACUUGAAUCCGGGAGGCAGGGGUUGCAGCGAGCCAAGAUCACCACUGCACUCCAGCCUGGGCAACAAGAGCAAAACUCCAUCUCAAAAAUAAAAAAAUAGAAAUAAACACAAUUACUUACUAACCUUCAUUUUACAGAUGAAAAACUGAGGUUAAACCACUUGUCAGAAGUCACACAGCUACUAAACGGCAGAACCAGAAUUUGAAAAUAAUGCUUCUAAUAAAUAUAUUAGCAAAAAAGUCUCAUAACUGCCAAUCAAAACAUUUGUGUGGAUAUUAGCAAAGUGGCAUUUAUGGAAAUAGAGGACCUGUGACUUUUGCCCAGUGUGCCUUCAAAUACAGACAGAACAAAAUACUAGCCUGGAGUAUGGCCAUACAAAUUUAGUUCUAUACAGGCAACAGCAAGAAAACAAGCAAAUAGGGAGAUGUGCUAGGUAUGAUCAAGCUGCCUCUCUUCCUUACCCAUCCAGCAUCUCUACCAUCACCCAUUAAAAAGGAGUGAUAGAAGUCAAAGGUGAAGGAUCCAUCACCGACAGUGGGGACAGUGAAAACUCUUGGCAGGUGUCCUCUAAGCUCUAACUCCAUGCCUAUGCAAACUAACCCGCAAGCCAAGUACUCCUGGCUUUAUCACACUGAGUGUUGACAAGAGCCAUCAUUAGUGUCCAAACUCCACUUUUCCCAGACUGAUGACACGUGUCUGCCCUUGAUUCCUGGUGCCACUCUUGCCUGCCAACUCAGGAAAGGUGUCUGUAAUGCCUUCGGCUUUUCUGAAAUACCUUUGGAACACAAGGCAGCAGCUGACACCAACUCUCUCCUGAGGAUGGACACUUGGCCAGGAGCCCAAGCUAAAGAUUAGGAGGUUCUUGAUCUCGAUUAAAAUCAUUCCUACCUUCUUACUGGCAAUUAAAAUAAAUUCCUCCCCAAAAAGCAGCCAGGGGUUCCUCGAGCCUCUUCCAUCCAGUGGUAGUCACCUUUGAUUUAAAAAAAAGUGGUAAAGUGUAGCAGCAGCUCUUAAAUGUCAGAGCCAGAAGGACCGUCACAGAGUUUUGAUCACUUUACAGCUAUUUCUCAUUUCAUACCAUGGUCAGAUUUUAAGCCAACACCACUCAGCAUUGCUUACUUAGUCAACUCCUUCAGGAAAGCCUAUCAAAUCCAAGUCAAUCGUCCAUUUACAAUAGUUUUGGGUGCUUCCCUAAUGCUAAGAUGUUUGACCCAAAGGGCAGAUUCUGACUUGAAGGCUAUGUAUCUUGCAGAUGGCCAAUAGGGAACUUCUACAAAAAGCAUUCUUUUUCAUGAUGGAGAGGCAAUGAGGUAUAAUUAUGAUAAACACACAUACAUGUAGUCAAAGAUUUUAAUUCUGACCCUGCUGUGUGACUUAGAAUCUUCACUUCCCUUCUAAAUCUGUUUCUUCAUCUGUUAAAUUAAGAUCUUUAGCCUAAAUAAGAGAUUCCUCAAGAUCCAUAAAAUGACUGUACCAGAAUAAUCCGAAUGCCUUUGAAAAAUAGAGAAUUAACUCCUAGAAAAGCUGAUUAGUAAAUCUGGGGUGAUACCUCAGAAUCUGCACCUUUAGCAGGCUACAUUUCCCAUCUACCACUUUUUCUGGGAGGAGUAGGGGGAGACAGGGUCUCACUCUGUCACCCAGGCUGGAGUGCAGUUGCACAAGCACAGCAGCCUUGACCAAAUCUUGGGCUUAAGCCAAUAUCGCCACCUUAGCCUCCUAUGUAGCUAGAACUACAGGCAUGCAUCACACCGCUGGGCAAAUUUUUUUAAUUUUUAGUAAAGAUGGGGUCUCCCUAUGUUGCCCUGGCUGGUCUCAAACUCCUGGGCCCAAGUGAUCCUUCUACCGUGGCCUCCCAAAGUGCUGAGAUUACGAGUGUGAGCCACUGUCCCCAGCCUACACUUUCAAUUCUGAUGCAAAAGUCAGAUUUGGAAACCAUGAGGCUAAAUGACCUUUAACACUACUGAUAGCUUUGAAAGUUAUAAAAUUGUAGAUUGAAACUUAUUUUCUAUUUAUUCAACCUAGAAAUUUUUCCCCAUUCAUGAUGGAGCUUUGAGUAGCAUUCCCAUUCAAACAUCAGCAUUGUCAAUUUCAGGUUAGCAAUGGAGACCUAAGUCCAAAAACAAUCCACCAAGUAAUUAAUAGUUUGCCCAACCUAGUACAGUAUUAUUUCAUUUACAAAAGUAUGAGGUAGAUCUAAGCAUAGCUUUUCUACAGAACAGGCAUUUUUUAAUAACACUUUUAAGAUAUCGUAUUUUGGAAAAAUUCAACUAUUUGCUGGAAAUAACCAAGAAAGGCAACAUUAAAAAGCAUUUUCCCUGUUAUUAAAUAACUCAAAAUAGUUAUAAAAGGAAUAUGUCUACUUAUCAAUACCUUACAAUACCUUAACACAAAUCUAUACUCUACCUGAGGGGAUAAUAAACUUUAUAAGAACAGAGCUCAAGUUUUUGAAGUAUAAAUUACCAUACAAUUAAAUUUAACCCAAUAAACAAAAAUAAGUCAGAGGCAGAAACAGUCAUAUCACUGAUACAUCAUCUGUGUUUCAUAACUGUAAAAAAGGAAAGAUUGAGUUCUUUGAUAACUGUUCUUGUUUAUUUCAUUAACUGGUUGUUACAAAACACAUGCCUAUUGGCUUUAAAGAACUUUUAAAAUCUCUGCCAAUACUUUUCACAUACUACAAUACAAACCCAGAUUCUCUCCAGUUCAUUCUUUAAUUUCCAUGAAUAUCAAUCAGCUGCUGCAUGAUAUUGGUUCCUGCUGCUUUUACAGCUUUAUAUUUCCAACUUAUUAUUCACUCAGCUUAAUUUGAACAGUAAUGCCGCACGGAGUAACUUAGAAGAAUCUUUCCCUGAUUACAAAUAUCCUAUGAAUUAAUUUACCAUGAAAAAAAUGAGUCCUGCUUCCUGUGUAUCUGCAAAAUAAUCUAAAAUAGUAAUAUCUCAAAAAAGUAGUCACUGUAAUGAGGGGAUAUAGAAAUUGGGUGCCUCUUUAAAAGUUUUUUUUUUUUUGGCCAGGCACAGUGGCUCACGCUUGUAAUCUCAGCACUUUGGGAGGACAAAGCGGGCAGAUCAUGAGAUCAGGAGAUCGAGACCAUCCUGGAUAACAUAGUGAAACCCUUUCUCUACUAAAAAAUACAAAAAUUAGCCAGGUAUGGUGGCACAUGCCUGUAGUUCCAGCUACUCGGGAGGCUGAGGCAGGAGAAUCCCUUCAACCCAGGAGGCGGAGGUUGAAGUGAUCAGAGAUUGCACCACUGCACUCCAGCCUGGGUGGACGAAGUGAGAUUCCGUCUCAAAAAAAAAAAAAAGAGAGAGAGUGAGUUGUGGUUUUGUUCUUUUCUUUUCUUUUCUUUUAAUAACAGGGUCACAGUGUGUUGCCCAGGCUGGAGUGCAGUGGCAUAAACACGGCUGACUGAAGCCUCAACCUCCUGGGCUCAAGCAGUCCUCCUGCCAUAACCUCCUGAGUAGCUGGAGUCACAGGCACACACCAUCACACCCAGCUAAUUUUUCAUAGAGAUGGGGGGUCUUGCCAUGUUGCCCAGGCUGGUCUUGAACUUCUGGGCUCAAGCAAUACUUCCCUCCCCAGCCACCUAAAGUGCUGGGAUUAUAGGCAUAAGCCACUGUCCCAAGUCAAAGUAUUUUGAAAGGCUUUGAAUUAUGUGUUUCAUUUGAAAAGAAAUAUUGCCUUUAGCACUGGAGUGCAGUGGCGCGACAUCGGCUCACUGCAACUUCUGCCUCCCAGGUUCAACUAAUUCUCCUGCCUCAGCCUCCCAUAGCUGGGAUUAUAGGUACCUCCAACCAUGCCCGGCUAAUUUUUGUAUUUUUAGUAGAGACAAGUUCACCAUGUUGGCCCACGCUGCUCUCAAACUGCUGACCUCAGGUGAUCCACCCACCUCAGCCUCCCAGAGUGCUGGGAUUACAGGCAUGAGCCACUGCACCAGCCUUUUCUUUCCUUUUAAGAGAUGAGGUCACACUCAUCUCUACCGCUUAGGCUGGAGUGCAGUGGCACAAUUAGAUGUAGCCUCUAACUCCUAGACUUAAGCAAUCCUCCACCAUAGCCUCCUAAGUAACUGGAACUACAGGCACAUGCCACCACAGCCAGCUAAUUAUUUUGUUUUUUUUUUGUAGAAACAAGGACUUGUUAUGUUGCCCAGGCUGGUCUCAAACUCCUCCUGGCCUCAAGUGAUACCCUUGUCUCAGCUUCCAAAGUGCUGGGAUUAUACAUGAGCCACCAAGCCCAGAGCCCCCAAAUUCCAAAGAGCUAAAGUAACCUGAUAUAAAGUUGUCAUGUAAAAUUUGAAAACGUUCCAAACUAUUGAGUUUAAAUUUCUAAUUCUACCUCUCAACGCCUUUGUAAAACCUUAAGCAGAUUAAUUUAAGAAUGACCAUUAUCCCAUAUACAACUUAACCUUUGAGACUCUUUUUUCUCCUUCCUAACAUUCAAGUAAAGACACUAGAUUUGUCAGCAGGCUCCUUUAUGACCAGUACCUUAAAGCAACACAUUCUUCUGGGCUAACAUAAAAUGAGAAUUAGUGGUCAUAGUGCUUGGAUCAGAUGUAAACCAAAUGGUUGCUGGGAAAGUGGGGGGAGAUGGGAAACUUGCAAAAUAAGAUAGUUAAAUUCAUUCAAAUAUUUGUAUAACUUCUCAUUUGGCAAACUUCUUUUAGAAGGGAUCUGUUCCAAGACUCCCAGCAGAUGCCUGAAACCUCAAAUAGUACACUCCAUAUAUAUUAUGUUUCUGCCUAUACAUACAUACCUAUGGCAAAGUUUAAUUUAUAAAUUAGGCAUAGUAAGACAGUAACAAUAACAAAAUGGAACAAUUGUAACAAUAUGCUAUAAGUGGCUGGGUGCAGUGACUCAUGCCUGAAAUCCCAACACUUUGGGAGGCCUAGGUGGGAGGACUGUUUGAGGCCAGGAGUUCGAGACCAGCCUGGGGAACAUAGUGAGACUCUGUCUCUAUAAAAAAAAAAAAAUUUCUAAAUCAGUCAGGCACGGUGGCAUGCACCUGUAGUUCUAGCUACUCAGAAGGCUGAGGCAGGAGGAUUACUUGAGCCCAGGAGCUCCAGGCUAUAAUGAGCUGUGAUUGUACCACUGCACUUCAGCCUGGACAACAGAGCAAGAGACUCUCUUUUUUUUUUAAGUUAUGUGAAUGUGGUGUCACUCUCAAAAUAUCUUCUUGUACUGCACUCAUCUAUUUUUUAGUGUAACUGAAACCACAGAAAGCAAAGCUGCAUGUAAGAAGGGACUAUCAUGAUAACUGUGUAAGCAUGGAAUUACCAACUAAUGGUUGGUAUCUACAAUUAGUACAGAACUUGGUGAAGUCUAAAUAAUUACUUUUCCUGGAACAAUCACUAUUGGGCUACACCACACAGAUUAUGCUUCAGGGAAAGGUGACGGCAAGAGGAUGCACUGAUACUGGCAAGUAGUCUCUCCUAAUAAGAUGGAGAUCAAGGCUUCCCAAAAAAGCAACAUCACAUCAGUGACAAGACUAGACUGAGAAAUCUUGCUCUAUAACUAAGGUCAGAAUUUCUUAACCUUAAGUUCACAAACCAAUCCACCAAAGAGGUGAUUAUGGGUUCUUGGAUUUCAUAACUGAAACUGAUUUCAAAAUGUGUUUAUGGACAUGUAUUUAGGGAGAUACUCCAUAGCAUUCCAAAGAGUUUUAAAUAAGGGCCGGGCGCAGUGGCUUAUGCCUGUAAUCCCAGCACUUUGGGAGGCCGAGGCGGGUGGAUCACGAGGUAAGAGAUCUGGUCAACAAGGUGAAACCCCACCUCUACUAAAAAUAGAAAAAAUUAGCUGGGCAUAGUGGCGCAUGCCUGUAAUCCCAGUUACUCAGGAGGCUGAGGCAGGAGAAUUGCCUGAACCCAGGAGGCGGAGGUUGCGGUGAGCCGAGAUCGCGCCAUUGCACUCCAGCCUGGGUAACAAGAGUGAAACUCCGUCUUAAAAAAAAAAAGAGUUUUAAAUAAUAUUAUCUAAUUUAUUAUUAGUACCUUCACAAUCAAUGAGGAAGGUACUAAUAUUCUCAUUUUAUAGACAGGAAUUUCAUUUCCUUGUGGGAAAUGAAAACCUUACCAAAAAAGUGGUAGAGCAUUAAUUCAAAUAUGUCCUUAAAACACAUAUAUGUACACAUACAAUACAAUAGCUAGCCAGAAAUUGUCUUAACUAUGAAAGAACAGGUUUUUAUAUUAGCAUAUAUGGCCUAGAAGCCAAAUACUGGGGAAAACAUGCAAUUUUAUGUGCUAACAUAGAAGUAAUAGCUGUAAAAUGAUUUUAACAAUUUAAACACUUUUGAAAUAAUAUAAAAAUCAGGCCAGGCGCGGUGGCUCAUGCCUGUAAUCCCAGCACUUUGGGAGGCCGAGGUGGGUGGAUCAUAAGGUCAAGAGAUCAAGACCAUCCUGGUCGACAAGGUGAAACCCCGUCUCUACUAAAAAUACAAAAAAUUAGCUGGGCAUAGUGGCGCGUGCCUGUAAUCCCAGCUACUCAGGAGGCUGAGGCAGGAGAAUUGCCUGAACCCAGGAGGUGAAGGUUGCGAUGAGCCGAGAUUGCGCCAUUGCACUCCAGCCUGGGUAACAAGAGCGAAACUCCGUCUCAAAAAUAAUAAUAAUAAUAAUAUAAAAAUCUCUAUUUUAUAGAUAAGGAGAUAGAGAAAUGGAGAGGUUAAGUAAUUUGUCAAAGGUCACAUAGCUAGUAAAAUUCAAAGUCACAAUUCUGGCUCCAAAACCUGUGCUCUUUACUAUGCUGUAAAUACUGCUUCUCCAUUUAAUGUAUGAAAAUUUUAAACUCUGGUCAUUUUAAAGGGGAAAAAGCAAGAAGGCCAAAGAAUCGUCUAAUUUGGAAAGUCUACUAUAAUAAAGUACUUUUUUAUUCUAUUCUAGCAUAUAUAAAACAAAACCAAUGGGAGACACGAGAAGCAAUUACAUUUGCAUUUUCUUUCAGACACACAACCUCAUUUGAUUUUCAUGGCUGUGUGUGUUGGAAGGGCAAGUGUUAUUUGUCUCACAUUUUAAAGAUGAGACAACUGACACUCUGAGAGGUUAGUCUCACUACUCACCAUUACCUGAACAUUUCUGCCUCCAGAAUUUCCUGUGCAUGGUUUUCUAUUGGAAUAGCUCCCUUUCUCUGUCUAGUAAAAAUGCAACUAACAUUUUAAAGCCUAGAGCAGGUUUAACCUUCUUAGAUAUACCUUUCCUGGCACUUGCAAGCAGAAAUAACCUUUCUUUUCUCUGUUGUCCCUUAAUGUAGUUCAUACCAUUCCACCAGGCAUCGUCUUUGUCAUCAGUUGUAUUUACAUGUAGCUCCCUAGUCAGAUACUGGGUUCCAUGAUGCUAAGGGUUACAUAUAGGAAAAAUGAUUCCUAGGAUUCUACUGCCAAAUCAGUAAAAGGAUGAAGCAGAAAACUCACACAGUUUGGCAAAAAGGAACAUGAAUUCACACUGACAUGCUGCUGUCAUCUUCAUAACUUAAGUCAUCUUCAUAACUUAAGAAUUUAUCCUCAAGGCUGGCAGCAUUACCCACAAACACUUCUAGUGAUGCUCCCUGCAUAGUGCUUGGGAAACGCCUAGGCAGACAGCACCGGAAACAAUGACUCCUCUUCUAUUACCUACUAACCAUUCAAAUACAUUGUUUUAUUGAGUUUAUGCUUCUUAUUUCUUCCAAGUAUAUCACAAAGUCCCAGGAAGACUAUGAAAACAUUUACAUCCCCACGUUGGAAACAUGUGGGCUUCAAUAUCUCAUGGUAUCUGUGGAAAAGAAAGGAGACAGAGUCUCGGUCUAUCACCCAGGCAGGAGUGCAGUGGCGCGCAAUCUUGGCUCACUGUAAUCUUUGCCUCCUGGGUUCAAGUGAUCCUCCCACCUCAGCCUCUCAAGUAGCUGGAACUACAGGCAUGCACCAUCACACCUGGCUAAUUUUUAUAUUUCCGGUAAACGCGGGGUUUCACCAUGUUGGCCAAGCCGUCUCGAAUUCCUGACCUCAAGUGAUCUGCCCACCUUAGCCUACCACUAGCUGGGACCACAGGCACGUAGCACCAUGCCUGGAUAAUUUUUUGUAUUUUUUUAGUAGAGACAGGAUUUCGCCAUGUGGCCUAGACUGGUCUCAAAUUCCUGACUCAAGUGAUCCACCCGCCUCAGCCUCCCGAAGUGUUGGGAUUACAGACAUGAGCCACCUUCUUUCACUUAAAAUAUUGUGGCCAUCUUUCCAUAUCAAUAUAUCAGAACCACCUUCCAAAGAACUGGCUCAAACAGAAAAGGAAGCAGUCAAGAAUGAUGCCAAACCAUCCUGACUAGAUUUGGAGCCCAGAGUGUACCAAGAAAGAAAUAGGCAAUUUCACAGUGGAAGAAAGAGGAUUUUACUUUUGGAACAGUUAUCAGAACAAGGAAUACACAUUUGUAAUUCAUAAGCAUGGAGCUGAUAAAUAAUGAUCUUUAAAAAAAAAAUGAUCUAAGUGCAGAAAGAAAAAGGUAACAAACAGUUAUCAGACACCUAGUGUAUACCUGGACUGCAACAGGAGCCAGGAGAUGCGGAAGAAACGAAAGUAUAUAACAAAAAGGGCAGAACAAAUUCUAAUAAACAAAUAGCUAACUACAAGUGUGAACAGCUCUGCAGAAGAUAAAAAUAAGUUACUAUGAAAGUAAAUAAUAGGAGGGACCAAUCCAGUCUUGGUGGUAAGAAGGGUCAGGGAACUUCCAUUAGUAAGUGAUGUGUAAGUAAAGACUUUAAGAGGAUGUGUAACUACCUUGGUGAAAUAGAGUAAGCAUUCCAAGCACAAGGAACGGAUGGUAUGUAUAUAGGCCAAAGAAGCAGUGUUUUUACAAAACAGAAAGUGUGAGUAAAGCACAUGAAAAUAUGGUGAAGAAGUCAUGAGACAAGGCCAGAAAAGAAGGUAGCAUUAAAAAAAAAAAAAAAGAUUACUAACAGUUUUGGAAAGAACAAUUUUGGUGUUCUAGUCACUGAGGAAAUAGAUUUCUAGAAAGGUAAUGAUGAAGAGCUUGGGCUAAAUGAGGGUGAAAAUCUCGGCUGUUACUUAGCAACUACAUGAAUUUGAACAAAUUACUUAACCUUUAAAUCUGUGCCAUCUGUAAACAGGAGAUACAACAAUAAUAGUAUUUGCUUCACAGGACUGCUUGAGGAUUAAGAAUACAUGCAAAUAAUUUCACACAAGAUCUGACACACAAAAUACUAUGAUCUUAGUGUGUGUGCAUGUGUUGUGUGUGUGUUUAUGAGCGCUCCCAAGCAUGUACUGGCCGAUAGGAGAUAAAAAGCAGACAGGAAGUUCAAGCAGACUAGAAGCAAAGACAUUAACUACUAUACUCUCAAAGUUGUAGAAUUACAGGUAAUUUUUAUGUUUAUUAUUUAUAAUCUUUCAUAUCUUCCAAGUGUUUAGCAAUAAGCAUAAACUAUUUCAACAAUUAUAAGAAAAAGUUAAUUUUAAAUCAUGUCUUUCUACUCUGGUUUCUCUUCAGAUCAUACAAAUCUUUCAUCUUUUAAAUCAUUUUUUUAAAAAAGCAAAGAUUUCUUUUAGAUGCACAAUCUACUACAUUUGGCUGAAAAGCAGAUGGAAAAAUUCACAGAGGAAAAGAAGGAAAAGCGAACUGUUUCUAUCAAGAAAGGAAACCUAUGGAAAGCACAGCUGCAAGAAUAUAGAAAGUAACGGGCUCUCCAUCUGUGAUGGAGGUGGUCACUUUGGAGGACAGAUAAGUCAUCCUCAGAGAACGAAAACAAUGAAGGAAAUUCCAGCCUACUCAUGUUCUCCUCUCAGGCUGUACCACAACAGGAUCCAACUGGGCUUUGUGAUCCCAUAACCUGUCAAGGGACCUGGCAUGGAACAGACAAUUAAAUUUUUUUUUUUAAUCAAAUGUAUUUUUAACUUUAUUAAAAGAAUUUUCUUGUAAUUUCUAGCACAAUUAUAUUCGUAACUUGGUAAGUAAUCCACUCCUUGAACCAAGCACAGGAUACCUCCAGUCAUCUAUCAGUCCCACAAAUUACACUAGGCCUACGCAUAAUUUUAAUAGCUACCAAAUAUCAGGACAAAAUUAUCCUGGUUAUACUUGCUAUAGAACCCAUGAACUUACAGUGUAGCCCAACUUCCCUUCCCAUUCUUCAGACUAACUAAAUCUACUGAAAAACACACAACCAAUCAAAAUCAUACGUCCUUUUCUCUCCUCUUCCCAGUAAAUAGUUGGGGCAAAAACAGUAGGUACAGGAAAAAUGGUUUAAAAUACAAGAGUCAGAAAAUCUGAAUUUAAGUUCAGCUAUGUUCAGCUCUACCCUGUGUAUACUCGUGGUCAAGCCAGUCACCCUGUAAGUCUUACUUCUCUGUAAAAGGGAGAAAAUAUACCCACUCCACCUCAGAUGUGAAAAGUGCUCUGCAAACAGCACACAGUGCAGCCCAAAGUAUCCUAGUCUCUGAUGGUGUUACUCCACAGGUUUUCCACUUUUCAUAGUAUAGACAAGAUCCUUUGACUACCCAAACUCUUGCCUACUUGUCAACCAUCAGUACAUGUGUGCAAGGUGCCUGGACAAAGUUAACUUAUAACCUGGGGUUAAAAGAAGGCCUUUUCUGCAUUUAAGUGUCAUCAGCCUGAAUGGGAAUUAUCAUUCACUCUAGGUCCAUCAGCAUCACAUUCCAACAGUUGAGUCACCUCCCAAACAAGAAGUUUCUUUCUAGCAUACUCUGUAGUGGGUACACAGGGUAAGGCUUUGGGAGUAUGAGCUUCCAAGGUGAAGAAUGACAUAGCAAAUAUCAGUUGAACCCCAUCUGAUCAAUGAACUUAAAUCACCUUAUCAAAACAUCCCUUCCUUUUCCUGCUUCCAGGCAAUCUUAAAUAUUUCUUUAAACGGCUUUGUUUAGGUAUAAUUUACAGACAAUUAAAUUCAUCUGCGAUAAGUGUAUAUUUCAAUGACUUUUAUUCAUUCAUUUAUAGAUUUGUGCAACCAUCACCAAAAUCUAAUUUUGAACCUUUCCAUCACCCCCCAAACUCCCUUUGUUCCUGUUUCCACUCCAACUCAGCCCCCAGACAACCACUGAUCUGCUUUCUGUCUCUAUACAUUUGACUUCUCUGGAUGUUUUGGGUUUUUUUUGUUUUUGUUUUUGAGACGGAGUCUACUCUAUCAUCCAGAUACAUGCCACCACAUCCGCCUUUUUUUCUAGUAGAGAAGGGGUUUCACCACGUUGGCCAUACUGGUUCUCAAAUUCCUGACCUCAAGUAAUCUACCUACCUCAGCCUCCCAAAGUGCUGGGAUUACAGGCGUGAGUCACCGUGCCCAGCCUCUGGACAUUUCAUAUAGAAGAAAUCAUACAACAUGUACUCCUUUGCGUUUGGCUUUUUUUUGAGAUGGAGUCUCACUCUGUUGCCCAGGCUGGAGUGCAGUGGCACGAUCUUGGUUCACUGCAACCUCCAUCUCCCAAGUUCAAGCAAUUCUCCCACCUCAGCCUUCAGAGUAGCUGGGACUACAGGCAUACAACAUCAUGCCCGGCUAAUUUUUGCAUUUUUUUUUUUAGUAGAGACAGGGUUUCACCAUGUUGGCAAGGCUGGUCUUGAACUGCUGACCUCAAGUAAUCCAUUCGCCUCAGCCUCCCAAAGUGCUGGUAUUACAGGCAUGAGCCACUGCACCAGGUAGAAUUUGGCUUCUUUCAUUUAGUAUAAGUUUUAGGUUUAUCCUUGUUGUAGCAUGUAUUGGUAAUUAAUUCCUUUUUAUUGUUGAAUAGUAUUGCAUUUUAUAGGUACUCCACGUUUUGUUUAUCCAUUCACCAAUUGGUGGACAUUUGAACUGUUUCCAGAUUUUGGCUAUUAAUAAUGUUAUUAUGAACAUGCAUAAUAAUGUGAUGAAUGAACAUUCAUAUAGUCUUUUUUUCUUUUGAGACAAGGUCUUACUCUGUGGCUCAGGCUAGAGUGCAAUGGUGCAAUCUUGGCUCACUGCAACCACCACCUCCCAGGCUCAAGCAAUUCCCCUGUGUUAGCCUCCCAAGUAGCUGGGAUAACAGGCACAUGCCAUGCACUUAAUUUUUGUAUUUUUAGUAGAUAGGGAGUUUCUCCAUGUUGGCCAGGCUGGUCUCAAACUCCUGACCUCAGGUGACCCGCCUACCUUGGCCUCCCGAAGUGCUGAGAUUAAAGGUGUGAGCCACCAAGCCUGGGGCCUACAUACAGUCUUUGUGUGAAUAUAUGUUUUAAAUUCUCUUGGAUAUACAGGAGUGGAAUUGCUGGAUCAUAUGGUAAGUUUAUAUUUUUAAUAAACUGCCAAACUGAUUUUCAGUUGACUUACAUUACCACUGUAACAUGCAAGAUUUCUUGUUUCUACACAUCCUAACACUUUCUAGAACACUCUGACAGUCUUUUUGAUUAUAGCUAUUCCUGAGGUGUACAGUGGACAUUCCAAUUUGAAUUUGCAUCUCCCUAAUGACUAAUUUAGAGCACCUUUGCAUGUGAUGAAAUGUUCUUUUACCCAAGUUUUCAAAAUUUUAAACUUAUUUUUGUUGUAGUAAAAUAUACAUAAGAUUUACCAUUUUAACCACUUUAGUGCAUAACUCAAGGACACUGAAUUCAGAUUGUUGUACAACCAUGAUCACUAUCAUUUCCAAAACUUUUUCAUAAACCUAAACAAGAACUCUGUACCCAUUAAACAAUAACUACUUAUUCUCCACUUCCCCCAGCAACUUCUGUUUUACUUUUUGUCUCAAUGAAUUUUGCCUAUUCUAGGUAUCUCACACAAGUGGAAUCAUAUUUUUUAUUCAUUUCUAAAAAUUGAGUUGUCUUGAAUUGUAAGAGAUUUUUAUAUAUUUUGGAUACAACUCCUGUGGGAAGUAGAAAAGUUCCUCUUUAAAGUUUCCUUUCCUGUUAAAGAAUAAAUCAUAAGUGUGCUAACAACUCUUUGCUAAGCCCUAUCCUAUGUAGCUGUUAGGCAUACCAUGCUUACUGGCACGUAGCACAUUCUAUGUCCUUGUACUUUAACCAAGAUACCUGUGCUGGACGUGCACACAAGCAUGUCCCAGCUUGCCACUGCUUUUACCUGAAAAGUUUUAAGUUGUUAGCCAAUCAGGUUUUAGUUUAGAUUGUGAGGUCUGGCUCCAGCCAAAGGAGAUCAGACACAGGAGUAAGGAUGACCCCAAAUGCAUAAAAGAUAAAUAUGUCGGCUUUCCUUUGUUCAUUGUACUCUCAUAGCAAGAUGGCUAGUGAGAAUACCCUUCCUGCAGUCCAGGAAGUAAAAAUUGCUUGCUGAGA